This 426-nucleotide ribosomal RNA is filed under the name Navicula sp. NB1_13. RNAcentral's name for it is "SSU rRNA". It matches the Rfam family "Eukaryotic small subunit ribosomal RNA", at positions 626 to 1056 of the family's 1831-position model. Lineage: Eukaryota; Bacillariophyta; Bacillariophyceae; Naviculales; Naviculaceae. The record is from RNAcentral.
GCUCGUAGUUGGAUUUGUGGCGUACGGUGUGUUCCGGGCACUUGUUGUCUGAGUAACCUGCUGUUGCCAUCCUUGGGUGGAACCUGUGUGGCAUUAGGUUGUCGUGCAGGGGAUGCCCAUCAUUUACUGUGAAAAAAUUAGAGUGUUCAAAGCAGGCUUAUGCCGUUGAAUAUAUUAGCAUGGAAUAAUGAGAUAGGACUUUUUUGCUAUUUUGUUGGUUUGCGCAAAGAGGUAAUGAUUAAUAGGGACAGUUGGGGGUAUUCGUAUUCCAUUGUCAGAGGUGAAAUUCUUGGAUUUUUGGAAGACGAACUACUGCGAAAGCAUUUACCAAGGAUGUUUUCAUUAAUCAAGAACGAAAGUUAGGGGAUCGAAGAUGAUUAGAUACCAUCGUAGUCUUAACCAUAAACUAUGCCGACAAGGGAUUGG